CCAUCACCACCAUCAUCCUGACUAGUCUUUCAGGCGAUUGGUGCUGGAAGACAUACAGAUCUUCCAGUGGCGCGAACCAGCUGUUAAUGAGCCCCCGGAAGGUCAACCUUCCGGGGGCUUUUUUAU
Shimwellia blattae is the source of this 126-nucleotide regulatory RNA element. It matches the Rfam family "Histidine operon leader". Rfam says of the family: At least 6 amino acid operons are known to be regulated by attenuation. In each a leader sequence of 150-200 bp is found upstream of the first gene in the operon. Lineage: Bacteria; Pseudomonadati; Pseudomonadota; Gammaproteobacteria; Enterobacterales; Enterobacteriaceae. The record is from Rfam.